UAGGGAAUCUUCCGCAAUGGGCGAAAGCCUGACGGAGCAACGCCGCGUGAGUGAUGAAGGUCUUCGGAUCGUAAAACUCUGUUAUUAGGGAAGAACAAAUGUGUAAGUAACUAUGCACGUCUUGACGGUACCUAAUCAGAAAGCCACGGCUAACUACGUGCCAGCAGCCGCGGUAAUACGUAGGUGGCAAGCGUUAUCCGCAAUUAUUGGGCGUAAAGCGCGCGUAGGCGGUUUUUUAAGUCUGAUGUGAAAGCCCACGGCUCAACCGUGGAGGGUCAUUGGAAACUGGAAAACUUGAGUGCAGAAGAGGAAAGUGGAAUUCCAUGUGUAGCGGUGAAAUGCGCAGAGAUAUGGAGGAACACCAGUGGCGAAGGCGACUUUCUGGUCUGUAACUGACGCUGAUGUGCGAAAGCGUGGGGAUCAAACAGG
RNAcentral lists this ribosomal RNA (429 nucleotides) under Actinomycetes bacterium. Its description in RNAcentral is "Actinobacteria bacterium partial 16S ribosomal RNA". It matches the Rfam family "Bacterial small subunit ribosomal RNA", at positions 355 to 776 of the family's 1533-position model. Lineage: Bacteria; Bacillati; Actinomycetota; Actinomycetes. The record is from RNAcentral.